UUAAGACUAACUGUCCAGACGACUUUCAGUUAAGUCGUCUGGACGACUUAUUUUCAAGUCGUCUAAACAGACGACUUGCGAGGGGUAGAAACGUAAAAAAAAUUCCGUUUUUUUGUUUGGUCACAAGGGGAUAGUUGUAAUUUCAAUAGCCUUUUAGGUUACUUUUGCCUUUGACCCAAAUUGGGGUAUUGUUUUGGGUUUGACUCCAAGUUUUGAGUCACACUUGGCAAUUCUCCCACGAUAUAUAGUACCGAUGUAUUAAGCCUAGUUUGUUUUAGAAAAAUACGAGAGGAACAAAAUUAGACAGUGGGCCGAUUUCAAAGACAUUAAAACAUUCGUGUGGACUGUUAAAACAGAUCAGGAAACCGAUAAAAAUCUGCUAGAUGCCCAGUAAAAGGGACGCUUUCUUUGUCUAUUUAUUUAAUUACUGGAGUACCCUUAAUGAAUUAAUUCAAGUCUUUGCAAAAUCAGCAGCAUAGGUAGUAAAUAAAAGGGUAUUAGAAGGGGAAAAAUUAGAUAGGAUCAUGCUUUAAUAGUUACCACCAGUAACUUACUUUAUUAAUAACAUUUUAUUUCAAAGGCUGAUGUAAUAGAACCGGGAUUAUUAAGGCAACAGUUACCAAAAGAGCUUGAAGUUCGAUCUAAAAUUAAAAUAUUGUUUUACAAAAAUAACAAUAAUAGGUGAUAGUAUAAUAAACUAUAUUUUUGGUUGGUAGCAGUAUUAUAUCUCAUACAUGGAAAUAGUUUUAUACCAAUUUCAGAUCAAUUUGUUUUUCAUAGUAUUUGCAUGAUUUAAUAGUCCA
Molecule: long non-coding RNA, 803 nt
Filed under: Brassica napus (rape)
Lineage: Eukaryota; Viridiplantae; Streptophyta; Magnoliopsida; Brassicales; Brassicaceae
Description: long non-coding RNA (BNAP_LNC012193)
Source: RNAcentral